CUUGCUACGGGAAAAGGGGAAGUGGGAAAGAAACCAUUCUCAGAAUAAGUCAGCAAAAUGGCAGGGAGCUUGUAUUUUGUACUUUUUUUUCCUUUCAUUAGGUUCUCUCUUCUUCGGGUUGAGAACAGAUUUGAGGAACCCAGGCAACUGCAAUCCAGAUAAUGCUCCUCGGAUGCUGCCUGAACUGGUGUGCUCUUCCAGCACCACUAAUACAGAUAAUGAUCAAGUCCGACCAGAAACCACCUCCUUUGAUCUUUAAUAACAUCAAUACAAGGAGGACCCAGGAGACUCAGAUACAGCCAAGGGCAGCCUUGAAAGAAUGAGAAGGGGAUGAACACUACCUGAUCAAAUUUAUCCCAUUCUGACUGGAACUAAGUGUAAACACCUCCUGGUAAAGAAGACCUGCUCUAAAUCAACCAGCCUUUGUGCAGCAUCACAUUACCAGCGCAAUGCAUGCACAAGGUUUGAUUGAUAGCGUCAGUGUGAAAGCAUUAAAUUACAUACCCAAGACAUGAGUUUGAUUGACAGGUGAAAAUUGAAGAUAAUUUCAAUCAGGUGUUUAUCUGAAGCAGAUGGGAAUUUCUCAUGUGAAAGCUGAGAAUUACUGAGGGAGGUUGCACGGCUGACUUCGAAAUAGCCGCCUGUUCAAAAUAUUUGAUCAGAAACGAUGAGAACAGUUCACAUCCACCCAGCAGGAUAAGACAGAAGGAGAGAUGUUAUGAGAGAUGGAGAGGGGAUUUUUAAACUUCUGUGGAAAUCAAGAAUUGGUGACUUUUGACCUGUCAUUCCAAUCCUAACAAAAAACAUGAAGCACAAUAUAUAAAUGAUG
This is a non-coding RNA of Chiloscyllium plagiosum (whitespotted bambooshark), 829 nucleotides long. The record is from RefSeq and is a predicted model, not a curated record. NCBI's taxonomy places the organism in Eukaryota, Metazoa, Chordata, Chondrichthyes, Orectolobiformes, Hemiscylliidae.